Molecule: ribosomal RNA, 490 nt
Filed under: uncultured bacterium
Lineage: Bacteria
Description: partial 16S ribosomal RNA
Rfam family: Bacterial small subunit ribosomal RNA
Source: RNAcentral
AUUGAACGCUGGCGGCAGGCCUAACACAUGCAAGUCGAACGGUAACAGGAAGCAGCUUGCUGCUUUGCUGACGAGUGGCGGACGGGUGAGUAAUGUCUGGGAAACUGCCUGAUGGAGGGGGAUAACUACUGGAAACGGUAGCUAAUACCGCAUAACGUCGCAAGCCCAAAGAGGGGGACCUUCGGGCCUCUUGCCAUCGUAUGUGCCCAGAUGGGAUUAGCUAGUAGGUGGGGUAACGGCUCACCUAGGCGACGAUCCCUAGCUGGUCUGAGAGGAUGACCAGCCACACUGGAACUGAGACACGGUCCAGACUCCUACGGGAGGCAGCAGUGGGGAAUAUUGCACAAUGGGCGCAAGCCUGAUGCAGCCAUGCCGCGUGUAUGAAGAAGGCCUUCGGGUUGUAAAGUACUUUCAGCGGGGAGGAAGGGAGUAAAGUUAAUACCUUUGCUCAUUGACGUUACCCGCAGAAGAAGCACCGGCUAACUCCGUG